Long non-coding RNA from Cyprinus carpio carpio, 1043 nucleotides. NCBI's taxonomy places the organism in Eukaryota, Metazoa, Chordata, Actinopteri, Cypriniformes, Cyprinidae. The record is from Ensembl.
GUCAGGAUUAUUGACCUGUCCAUACCAGACUCCAAAUCUCCACAUGUCCAUGAAGAAGGCACGAUUUAAGACUUGUAUAUAGAUUACGCAUCCUCUUGGAAGGCAUUCACGUGCCCAGCCAAUGCUGGCAUAAUCGCUCACAGCUUUCCUCAUGUUUUGAAGCCACUGGAAUGCUUUGCUUUGCUUUUUACCCCUUCUAAAGCUACACACCAACAUCAGGAUGCUCAAAGGUCUGUCUAAUAAUGUCUGGCAUGCUGACUUGAUACAGCUUGGCUGAUGUGCAGUUUUGUAUACGUUCCAGACGCUAGAUCGCAUGGACUCAGAAGCUUCCCAGAUGUGCUGGCUCACAGAGCUGUGGAGCCACAGCUGUGCAAGAGAACUGAGUUCACACCGAUGAUUUGGGUGGGUCUGACAUUGAGCACCCAAGGUGUGAUGGAUAGUCUCACCAGAACAUUCUCAUAGUCAAAGCUGCAAUGGAGAAUUUAUUGUACAUCUCUGAAGAGCGAAUACAUUCAGUGAAACUUGCCUCAGUUUUCCUCAGAGACUCAUUAAAGCCAAUUCUCAAAUUGAUGUAUUUUAUUAUGUAACUACUGCAUAUUACACAAUUUUGUAAUCGAAUAGGGACUUUUACUUUUUAACAUCUGUAAGUUAAAAUAUAAAGUUUAAAAUACAUUGUUCACUACGGAUUAUGUAAGGGAUAAUCAAUGGUUUGCCGUGCAUUAAAAGGAUUUUAAACGCAUGACGUGGAGGCAAAAAUGCGAAGCAAUAUAUAUAUAUAUAUAUAUAUAUAUAUAUAUAUAUAUAUAUAUAUAUAUAUUAAAUAUAAAUAUAAUAUUAUACUUAUAGUUCUGUAAUAAUAAUUAUAGCAUACACACAUAAACACACGCACACACACACACACACACACACACACACACACACACACACACACACACACACACAUUUCUACAUAUGUGUUUUUAAAGCCAAAAUGUUUUUGUUUUGGGGAAUACAUCCUUUGCCUUUAAAACAAGAAUGAUGAAGUUGUAAUUUACAGAGGCUGU